RNAcentral lists this ribosomal RNA (253 nucleotides) under uncultured bacterium. Its description in RNAcentral is "partial 16S ribosomal RNA". It matches the Rfam family "Bacterial small subunit ribosomal RNA", at positions 524 to 776 of the family's 1533-position model. The record is from RNAcentral.
UACAGAGGGUGCGAGCGUUAAUCGGAAUUACUGGGCGUAAAGCGUGCGUAGACGGUAGCGUAAGUCAGAUGUGAAAGCCCCGGGCUCAACCUGGGAAUUGCAUUUGAGACUGCUCUGCUCGGGUGCGGAAGAGGGAAGCGGAAUUUCCGGUGUAGCGGUGAAAUGCGUAGAUAUCGGAAGGAACACCAGUGGCGAAAGCGGCUUCCUGGUCCGACACCGACGUUCAGGCGCGAAAGCUAGGGGAGCAAACAGG